AACAAACGCUGGCGGCGUGCCUAAUACAUGCAAGUCGAACGGGGAAAGCUUUCGGGCGAGUACUAGUGGCGCACGGGUGAGGAACACGUGGAUAAUCUGCCUUGGAGAGGGGGAUAACUAGUCGAAAGAUUAGCUAAUACCGCAUAAGACCACAGGAACUGAGGUUCUAGGGGUCAAAGGUUUUUCGCUCCAAGAUGAGUCUGCGUAAGAUUAGCUAGUUGGUGAGGUAAUGGCUCACCAAGGCGACGAUCUUUAACUGGUCUGAGAGGAUGGUCAGUCACACUGGAACUGAGACACGGUCCAGACGCCUACGGGAGGCAGCGUUAGGGAAUAUUGCACAAUGGAGGAAACUCUGAUGCAGCGACGCCGCGUGAGUGAUGAAGGCCUUCGGGUCGUAAAGCUCUGUCGCAGGGGAAUAAAAAAAUGAAGGUACCCUGCAAGAAAGGAUCGGCUAACUUCGUGCCAGCAGCCGCCGCCG
This 478-nucleotide ribosomal RNA is filed under the name uncultured bacterium. Its description in RNAcentral is "partial 16S ribosomal RNA". It matches the Rfam family "Bacterial small subunit ribosomal RNA", at positions 29 to 523 of the family's 1533-position model. The record is from RNAcentral.